AUAAAAAAUUUAACGACUGUUAGUUGAUGACUUGUUAACAGUUUAGAUGUAGAGAACAUUAGACCGAAUAGGCUAGUAAUUAUCGAAAGUCUUUGUAAAAUUUGCCUUGAGUUGUCUAUGGUUGCUAAAAAGGACAACUAAUUGAAAAUUGAAAUAACAUACAAAAAAGCUAGAGGUUAGCAUUAAAUGAAAUUUUACGAGUUCCAUGAGUGUCGUGAACUAAAACACUCCGUGACGCUUGGAAGUCUGACAGACCUAUUAUAUAACAAGAAUGAAAUUUGUUUACUUGUUCUUUAGGUUGCUGGGAUAACAAGACACGUUAGGGGCUAGGGGCUUAACCAAAAAGGCAAGGGCAACUAUUACCUAAAAUAAGGUAACUAAA
RNAcentral lists this unclassified non-coding RNA (382 nucleotides) under Lactococcus phage 5447. Lineage: Duplodnaviria; Heunggongvirae; Uroviricota; Caudoviricetes. The record is from RNAcentral. RNAcentral also lists the same sequence under 1 other name.